UCACGAGCCAACUCGAGCAGUAACUGCCAUUAUAAUGUCGACUGUGAAAUUUGCAGUUGUAAUGGCUGCGCUUGUAGUCUUGAUGGAGAAUAUCUCAAGUGUGAAAUGUAACCCCUUUCACCCAGCUUGUCCUGGUCUACCCUGCCGUGGACCACGUGACCGUGUAUGCUUUCCAGAGUGCAGAUGCAGCCCCGCCUAUAGAUGCGUCCGAGUAUUGUUCUGGAGGAAAGGAUAAAGACUCUGCACCGUGCGAUUGUAUGACUAUUCUGCAAAGAAAAAUCCAGCUAAAUAAAAUUUAACGCCACCC
Rhipicephalus sanguineus (brown dog tick) is the source of this 307-nucleotide long non-coding RNA. RefSeq lists it as uncharacterized. The record is from RefSeq and is a predicted model, not a curated record. The transcript is spliced from 3 exons. Lineage: Eukaryota; Metazoa; Arthropoda; Arachnida; Ixodida; Ixodidae.